GAUGAACGCUGACAGAAGGCUUAACACAUGCAAGUCAUGCGCGAAGCGGCGCUUGCGCAGUCUAGCCAAGGCGGACGGGUGAGUAACGCGUAAGGAACUUGCCCGGCAGACAGGGAUAACAUACGGAAACGAGUGAUAACACCGGGUAUUGUCAGACUGGCGCAUUCCGGGCUGAUGAAAGGAGACGCUGCAGGGUGGGCUUGGGUCCUAUUAGCUAGUUGGUGGGGUAACGGCCGACCAAGGCGAUGAUCGGUACCCGGCCUGAGAGGGUGAACGGCCAGAAGCGGACUGAGAGCAGGCGCUUGGAACUUCGGGCGGCAGCCGUGAGCAAUAUUGAACAAUGGCGGCAAAGUUAAGAAAGCCAUUCUGUGUGAAAGAAGAAGGUUUUCGGAUGAAAAAGUGCUUUCAGAAGGGUAGAUGAAAGUGACGGUACCAGCAGAAGAAGCGCGGGCAACAUACGU
This 461-nucleotide ribosomal RNA is filed under the name uncultured bacterium. RNAcentral describes it as "partial 16S ribosomal RNA". It matches the Rfam family "Bacterial small subunit ribosomal RNA", at positions 28 to 506 of the family's 1533-position model. The record is from RNAcentral.